RNAcentral lists this ribosomal RNA (278 nucleotides) under uncultured bacterium. RNAcentral's name for it is "partial 16S ribosomal RNA". It matches the Rfam family "Bacterial small subunit ribosomal RNA", at positions 28 to 309 of the family's 1533-position model. The record is from RNAcentral.
GAUGAACGCUAGCGGCAGGCUUAACACAUGCAAGUCGAGGGGCAGCACGAGGUAGCAAUACUUUGGUGGCGACCGGCGCACGGGUGCGUAACGCGUAUGCAACCUACCUUUAACAGGGGCAUAACACUGAGAAAUUGGUACUAAUUCCCCAUAACAUUCGAGAGCAUCUUCUAGGUAAACUCGGUAGUUAAGAUGGCAUGCGUUGUAUUAGCUAGUUGGUGAGGUAACGCUCACCAAGGCAACGAUACAGUAGGGGGGACUGAGACGGUUAACCCCCC